Long non-coding RNA from Saccostrea echinata, 3334 nucleotides. RefSeq lists it as uncharacterized. The transcript is spliced from 2 exons. The record is from RefSeq and is a predicted model, not a curated record. Lineage: Eukaryota; Metazoa; Mollusca; Bivalvia; Ostreida; Ostreidae.
AUUGCAUUUAUCACCAUAUUGUGAUAAAUGCUUUUAAUACCAGUGCAAGAGCGAUAACUCGUGCGUUCUUGGUAGUGGUUAAACAUUAUUGAGACCAUGAGUUUUAAAUAGAGGACGCAAUAUAAUCAAGCACCUUAUGACCCCGAUUUUCAUAGUCUACCGAAAAAGCUAGAAGGGCAGACAUGUUGCAAAAUUUCAUCUCUAGUCUGCACACUUUGGAAGGAAAAUGUUUUGACCCACCGUUAAGCAAAAUUAUUUCCAUUUUUGUGCAUUAUUCUGUUCCAAGGAUACGGUUUAUAGACACUGUAAGUAAUUUAUGCGAACAAUAACAUGAUGCCCCUAAUUAUAAAGGCUUGAAUUUAUAAUCGUUGCACUUUGUGAUAUCUGUGACUGUACAUCAUGCGCUGAUGCUGUGGAUAGAAUGACAUUGAAAGUCCUUAUUCUGGGGCAUUCAUUUAUACGCAGAUUUGAGAACUUUGUUUGUAUCAACUAGUUCUGACCAUCGGGUGACGCCGAAUUUAAAUCUUAAUUCAGAGGAGCUACAGAUUUUCUAUUUGGGUAUGGGGGAGCGUCACUGGCUCAAAUUCGUGCGCAAGGCACUCGUUACGUAAGAGACUUGCGUCCAGAUGUUGUUUUGUUACAAGCUGUAUCAAACGAUUUGUGUCGGAGAAACACAUCAGUGGAAGACAUUUUUCAUGAACUUGCGGACUUUGUAAUUUAACUCCGUGAUGCGGAAGAUGUGAAAAAAGUAGUUGUGCUUCAGACAUUGCAUAGAAUUCCCCCGACAAGACGUAUCAGGUUUCAUGUGGACACAGAGUGCAAGAGAGUUGAUGAAUUAAAUAGACGCAUGUCCUAUUACUUGCAGAAUGUAGAGGGAGCAGCAUUCUUUCGCCUAUCUGGUUUAUCAUAGGAUGGUAUUUCUGGCGGAUGGGGUCCAUUUGAAUAAUCAGGGAAAUAAGGAAUAUUAUAAUAAUUUGAGAGCUGUUAUUGUUUCCUUGAUAAAGUCUAUCAAUAAUGGAAAAUUGGGAGACACUAUUUGUAAACAUAUGCUAGAUAUUUUGCACUAGGUUUGUGUUGAACGUGGAAUAUCUAAUGACAAGACAACUCUCAUCAGGUUUGACUCUAAGGGAUAGAAUGGAGACAGUUAUAUCUAUGCUUAUGUUUUACCUCAAGAUACAUUGACUGAGCUAUGUAACAAUCCCAGGAUAGGUGUCUAGAAUGCUAAACACAAAUUAAGUAAAAAUAACUAAAAAUAAAGUAGAUGAAGUUAUGUAGCUGAUUUUCGUAAUCGAAUAUCUGCCUCCCAGCCAAGAGGGAUAACUCUUAAAAAAAAAAAAAAAAAAAAAUAAAUGAUCAUUUAAUCAAAAAAGACUCAAAUUAAGCUUGAAAUUCAAUCUUUUCGUGCAACAAUUUUUAUUCACGCAACUCAAGUUCUUCGUAGUCUAGAAACUGGGAAAAGUUGACAUUUGUGUCCCAUAAAAGUAUUUAAAAAUCUUUAGAUAAAUCGAAUUCCUUCAAGCUUGCUUUGUUAACCAUGAUAUGAAAUUUGAAGUGAUAUUUGAUGUCUUCCAACGAUAGCACAUGCUUUUUACACUACAGGUAUGUGUUAUAUAAUGAUUGGAAAAAAUAUAAGAAAAAUGCCAUUAUGAUAUGAGUAUUAAUAACAUGCAAUUUUUUUCCAAAUUCCGGGAUACCUAUAAAUGUUUAUUCAGGUACCUUUGGCUAACAACAGGAUAUUAUUACAUACUGACAAGCAAUCGGUCGUGCAAAUAGUCAAUUCUGCUAAAGUCAGACUAUUGGUUAGAAACUUGUAAUUAAUAUCACUUAUGUCACUAUUAUAUUUAAGCAGAGUUCAUUAGUUAGUUAUUAUAUCAAAUUAAAUUGCAGAUUCUAUUUUACAUUGACAGUGGCUUCAUUUUUGGGCUUUGGGUCCUCGUGCAUCUCAGGUCAAUAUUGGAAACGAUAAGUUUCAAUAAUUGAUUCACACCUUUUCAACAAUGUCACAUUGGCAUCAUUAAGCUAGAUGGAUGAACAAAUCACUAACAAUAGAGUCUGAACUUGGUACACCUAGCCAUGGCCAAUUUUUGGUACAUUUCAAUGGUAAUCCCCUAACGACUAACGUGUUAUUAGUUAUCAAACCCCAAUUGCAAUACUAUUCAUUUCUGUAACAUAAACAAAUACCGUUUUAGAUCACACUCUUUUCAGCAGCAGUAUUAUAGGGCAUUCCUGAACAAAUUAUUAAACAAUUGGGCGGGUGGAAUCCAUAACUAUACAUGCCUCAAACAUUGGUGUGAGAUUUGUAUAAUUAAAAUAUUAUAGCUCAAUUUCAAUUUUGGCUUAAACGUAUUAUACAUCUAUCCAUAUAAAAAUUUUAGUUUUUGUAGAUUGUGUGUAGUCUGGGAUAUAGCAUUCAUAGGAUACUGAGCUACCCAAAGUGACAUCAUUGGUCCUUGAGGAAAAAGCCCUCGAUUUGAUUUUUAAAAAAAAUGGGUUUGGAGUCAGGGAAAUUAGAUUGAAGGAAUUUGACUCUUUGAUUUAGAAUAAAUUAAAAUGCACUUGGGUGGUACAUUUCAAGGACCGGGGCACCUCGCCUGGAUCAUUAUUGUUUCAUAGUAUGGAAUGUUCCUGCUUAUGCUGCAAGUUAUUAGUCCGAAGUAUGUCAAUUAUUUGGUCCGAUAUAAGUUUAUUCCAAGAUGAGUCUUGAUUUAUUAAAUGGAACAACUAACAAGUGUCUAUUAUACGUGAACACUUAUAAAAUUUGAAAUUUAAAGGUCAGGUGGGUGAAAUGGAAUGAAUUAAAAAUUAACAUGUAUACACCAAACACGUUAGUGGCGGGUGAACUUGUAUAGACAAGUUCAUUUGGCGGAAUUCGGGGAUUACCACGAAUGAGGAAUUCUCUCAUGUGUGGCUCAAAACUCUGGGUAAUCUAUCCUCAGUACUGGGGAGGAUUAAUUUGGGGUUACCUCAGCGGUACCUGAGGGACCAGCUUGAUCUUUGUGGGUACCAAAGGCAAGUUUUGGGGCCUACCCCUGGGGGUAUUAUCCCCAUGUUGUUGUUGUAUUCCAGGGGAGGCAGGUAUAGAGUUAGGGCCCGAGUCAGAACUUGAAUUCAUUCAUUUGAUGUGGCACUCACUCUUGUUGGUACCAAGAGGUCUGUUCCCACCACAGUCACCUGUGGGGGCGCUAUCGCGCCAAGGAUCUAGGGAGGUCAUCCCGGUAGGCAGGUAGUGAUUCCCUGGGUUCCGCCGGGGUAUUUACAUCUAUGUAUAAAUAGAUUGUGACAAAUAGUCGCCACAAAAUGUAAUCAUUGUUUCACAAUAAAUGUGUAAAAUUAA